AGGUUUGUACCUACGGACUGC
RNAcentral lists this non-coding RNA (21 nucleotides) under Arabidopsis thaliana (thale cress). Lineage: Eukaryota; Viridiplantae; Streptophyta; Magnoliopsida; Brassicales; Brassicaceae. The record is from RNAcentral.